This 503-nucleotide ribosomal RNA is filed under the name uncultured bacterium. RNAcentral describes it as "partial 16S ribosomal RNA". It matches the Rfam family "Bacterial small subunit ribosomal RNA", at positions 30 to 523 of the family's 1533-position model. The record is from RNAcentral.
AUUGAACGCUGGCGGCAGGCUUAACACAUGCAAGUCGAGCGGAGUGAUGGUGCUUGCACUAUCACUUAGCGGCGGACGGGUGAGUAAUGCUUAGGAAUCUGCCUAUUAGUGGGGGACAACAUCUCGAAAGGGAUGCUAAUACCGCAUACGUCCUACGGGAGAAAGCAGGGGAUCACUUGUGACCUUGCGCUAAUAGAUGAGCCUAAGUCGGAUUAGCUAGUUGGUGGGGUAAAGGCCUACCAAGGCGACGAUCUGUAGCGGGUCUGAGAGGAUUAUCCGCCACACUGGGAAGGAGACACGGCCCAGACUGCUACGGGAGGAAGCAGUGGGGAAUAUUGGACGAUGGGGUGAAACCUGUUCCAGCCAUGCCGCGUGUGUGAAGAAUGCCUUAUGGUUGUAAAGCACUUUAAGCGAGGAGGAGGCUCUUUUGGUUAAUAACCAUGAUGAGUGGACGUUACUCGCAGAAUAAGCACCGGCUAACUCUGUGCCAGCAGCCGCAGUAA